This 252-nucleotide long non-coding RNA is filed under the name Ananas comosus (pineapple). RNAcentral describes it as "long non-coding RNA (ACOM_LNC011951)". Lineage: Eukaryota; Viridiplantae; Streptophyta; Magnoliopsida; Poales; Bromeliaceae. The record is from RNAcentral.
AUCUUUUAACCACAUACAUGCAUUCAACAUUUGUAUUCUUUUACAUCUUUUGUAUCAUUUCUUUUUACAUCACAUAUUCCCAAAAUAGACCUCUUUACAUUCUUUCAUUUAAACAUGUAUAAUCAUCAAGUACAAAAGAUGAUAUAUGAAGGGUAUGCAACUACACAAAAUAUAACCAGCACGGGUGGUCACUGUCUAUAGCGCGAUACCUUUACCGCGAUCGUCGGCCGGCUCACUCGGUCCCGGCUCUGU